UACGUAGGGCGCAAGCGUUAUCCGGAAUUAUUGGGCGUAAAGAGCUUGUAGGCGGUCUGUCGCGUCUGCUGUGAAAAUCCGGGGCUCAACUCCGGUUCUGCAGUGGGUACGGGCAGACUAGAGUGCAGUAGGGGAGACUGGAAUUCCUGGUGUAGCGGUGAAAUGCGCAGAUAUCAGGAGGAACACCGAUGGCGAAGGCAGGUCUCUGGGCUGUAACUGACGCUGAGGAGCGAAAGCAUGGGGAGCGAACAGG
This 253-nucleotide ribosomal RNA is filed under the name uncultured bacterium. Its description in RNAcentral is "partial 16S ribosomal RNA". It matches the Rfam family "Bacterial small subunit ribosomal RNA", at positions 524 to 776 of the family's 1533-position model. The record is from RNAcentral.